UGACAAUCGUCAUCAUCAUCACCGGCGCCGACACAUUAUCAACUUCGCCACCUUCGCCGCCUUCGCACAAUUAAAGUAUUUUGAUUUAAUCUGAAUUUUUUUUUUAAUAUACCUUUAUACUGUUUUAAUCAAAUAUAAAUGAUAUAUUUUUUUAGUAAUAUUUUUUUUUUCAUUUUUGCUAUUAUUUUUCUUAAAUAUUCUCAAAUAUUUUUAAAAUAAUAUCAGUUUUUAUUUAUCUCCGUCGUCGACACCGGUUCAUCAUCACAUCACUAGCGCCGUCACAUUAUCACCUUUGCCAUAGUUAGAGAGGUCUUUUGAUUUCAUCUGUUUUUUUUUUUUGUAAUGUGCCUUUACUCUGUUUUAGAUUUUUUUUUUUAGUAUUUUUUUAUUUUUAUCUAUAUGUUUUUCAAAUAUAAAACAUAUAAUUUUUUUAGUAAUAUUUUUUUUAUUUUUACCUAUAUUUUUCUUAAAUAUUCUCAAAUAUUUUUUUAGUAAUAUUAAUUCUCAUUUGUCCCCAUUGUCGGUACCGGCGUCAUCAUUUUCCUCAUCGUUAUUGUCGUCAUCGAUGCUGAUACAUUAUCGCCUUCCCCACCUUCUAUACUACGUACUACUACUAUACUAUUUCAGUUUUUUUAGAUGUUGUAGGAAUGGUUGUCCAAAUCAAUUACUCUUUAUUUAUAUGGUAUUAAUCGUCCUAAACGUAAAGGUAAAAUAUUUCUCUUUUUAUCAUUUCACAUGAAUAAAGUUAUUAAUAACUAAUUAUUUGGAUGGAUUGAAGUAUGAAUCGAAUUAGAUUAAUCCUCUAGGAGAAGAUAAUGCUAACACACAUUGGCAUGAAAAAAUUAUUAAUAAUUAAUUAUUUGGAUGAAUUGAAGUAUGAAUCGAAUUAGAUUAAUACUUUAGGACAAGAUAGUGCUAUAACACACAUUGGCAUUUGGAGAGACACUAUUGUAAACAAUUCAGUUGUUGUAUAAAAACAGUACACGUUAAUAUGGAUAAUUAGGAUAAAUGUACUUUUUAAUAUUUUAUUUUUUUUGUGGUAUUUUAAAUUUAUUUAUUAGGAUCAAUUUAUUAGCAAAGUUUUAUGAGUAAAAUUGUGCUUAAUCCACCUAUUCCAAAAACUCAAGAAAUAAAAUUAAGCUAAAUUUUUUACGUAUAUGAAUUUUUAUUAAAUUUAUAUUUUUUUUAAUUUUAUCUAUUCUGAUGAUUUACUAAUAUUUAUUUUAUUAUUUUUCUUACUUACAAUGCAAUUUGUACGGAAUGGAGACUGAUGGUGACAUUUUCAGUUAGUUUAGUGAUGAAUUUUGUAUUUUUUUUUCAAUGAUACCAUGAUAGAUUUUGUGUUCUUACUUUUAUGAUAUUGUAAUUCUAUUUCCUAUUUCUGGUAUUUUAUUUUGGUAAUGAUUAAAUACUAUUUAUCGAAUCUAUAAUAUUUAUUUAUAAAUUUUUUUUUUUAGUAUUGUGUGACGUGCAUUGCACGUGCACUUAACUAGUAUAUAUAUAUAUUCGAGCUUUUCGAGCCUAAUUCAAGAGAAUCCAGUAAUAGUCAAGCCCUGCUUAAAAUAAAUUAUGAGUUUUUUUUUUUAUCUUUUCGAGCCUAAUUCAAGAGAAUCCAAUAAUAGUCAAGCCCUGCUUAAAAUAAAUUAUGAGUUUUUUUGUUUUAUUCAAGUUUGGCUCAUUUAAUUUCAAGUCAAGCUCGAGUGAGCCGAAUAUCGAGUCGAGUCGAAUGCGAAUUGAACAUGAGCUGGCUCGCUCAUUUGCUAGGCCUACAAAAGGGGAGAUAGAGAGGGUAGGGUAGAGAGAGAUAGGGAAAGGGAUAGAGAAAGCGCGAGAGAAAGGGAGAGGAAAUAAAGGAGAGGGACGAAUCUGGAGGGGAAGGGUCGAUCGUGACUGUUUAAACGCGUAGCGAGGGGGAGGAGAGAAGGGUAGAGAGAGGGAAGGGAUAGAGAGACGCAGGAGGGAUGAAGGAGAAGAGGGAGAUACAUCUGGGGAGGGUUAGCAAUCGUAAGAGCGGGAGAUAGAUAGAGGGGAGGGAAGAGAAAGAGAGAG
This 2049-nucleotide long non-coding RNA is filed under the name Ananas comosus (pineapple). RNAcentral's name for it is "long non-coding RNA (ACOM_LNC032777)". Lineage: Eukaryota; Viridiplantae; Streptophyta; Magnoliopsida; Poales; Bromeliaceae. The record is from RNAcentral.